This 1625-nucleotide long non-coding RNA is filed under the name Mus musculus (house mouse). RNAcentral's name for it is "RNA imprinted and accumulated in nucleus". The stretch from base 991 to 1064 matches the Rfam family "Small nucleolar RNA SNORD113/SNORD114 family". The record is from RNAcentral. Lineage: Eukaryota; Metazoa; Chordata; Mammalia; Rodentia; Muridae.
AUUUUUUUUUUUUAUUCUCUUUGCUCUUUUGUCCUACCUGGAUGGAUGCUGCCUAACACCUUGUUUCCUGGCUAGGAGGUUCAUGCUGCCAUAUCCCCCUGUUUAACAAGUGUGGAAACUGAUAAUGGACUCACAAUUGCUGAUGUAUAGGUUCUAAUGUUUUCUAUUGUGGACACGGGACACCCAGACUGAGGUUCGUGGAUUUUUGAAAUUUCUAAUAAUAAGAUAAAUUUGUGACUUAAUUUUGAGUGGAUGAACUUGAUUUGUUGUGGUUAUAUUGUUCAGUUAGUAUGUAAGUAAAUAUACAAAUAAAUGAAAAAGGGGUUGGCCAACUAUCAAUGUAUAGAGCACAUUGAUAGCAAAGUUGUUUACAUAACUUACACUUUUAGUCCUUAAAUACCAUACGAAUUGAGCAUGUUUUAUCUCUCCUUCUGAGAUCAUUAAAUGGGUCAUUAAAUAUAGGGACUAUAAGCAACUGUCAAUAUUGAUUAGGGUAGUUCAAUGUUAACAUUGUUGAUUUUUGAAGCUUUAUUAUGAACUUGGAAGCAAAGGCGCCACACACUGAAAUUAAGGAGAUCCAAAGACUUACUUUGAUAAUAGAAAAUUCAUAGCGAUUAUCAUAGGUUCAUAUGAUAUCACAUUAAUUGUUAUGCAAAACUUAUUCUUGUGAGUUCUCAAAGGUAGUUAUCCUCUCUAUUCAUCCCACAGAACCAAUGGCUCCAGUCUGAUUUAAACAUGGGUCCGUGCUCACACACUCAAUACCUACCCUCUGUGCUCACAAGUCCUGUGUGAGUAAGACUCCAAAUUAUUCUGUCUUGUUUUACUCAAUGGUAUGCUCUACCUUAUUAUAGAGUAUACCAUGUAUUGAGACAAGAAUGCCAGUCAUUCUGAGAAACAAAAUGCAACCAUUAGUUGUCAUUUUAAUUAGUGACGAAUAGUUGUGUCAAUCAUCAAACAUGCUUGUAUAAUUGGAUGAGAAGAGGUGUAACACGGGCCAAUGAUGACGAGGUUUCGGGAUUAUAAGUCACGGACGAUGACUACGUCACUAGAGGUCUGAGGUCCAUAGCAGAAGAUGCCUCAUGUGACCCUCUCAUGCAGGGGUUGCAUGUCAGGCAUGUGCAUACAGUAGAUAUUAGCCAUGCACUCUCACCAUUUCAUAGUAGAUCACAGAAUCAAGAUACAAAUCUCCAUGCACGGAAAGGAUUUAAGGCAUUGAUCAAUCCUGAACAUAAAUAUUUGGCCAUCAAUGAUAUUUACGCACACACUGAAAAAUCUAUUCAGAAUGACUUACACAAAGGUUUAUAUAACCUUUAUCAAAGGUAAUUUAUAUAGUAAGAUUCAUGGCUGAAGUCUUCAUGAUGGUCAAGGCCUUAAUUUUUAAAAUUAUCAAUUUUUUUCUUUUCUUUUUUUUUAACUUGAAUUUUUUUUUAAUGAAAACUAUCAUGACAAUUUGUCUCUUAAAUGAAAGGAGAAAUGUAAAACUAAAUGGACAAAUAUCAACCUUUUUAUUAUCUUUGCUGUUGUGCCCUCCCUGGAUGGGUGCUGGCACAUGAUGUCUUGCCUGCUGGUCCGUGGUUGCACUCUCACCAUGUGGAUGGAGCUCGGCAGCUGAAGUAAGUGAAGCC